GAUGAACGCUGGCUACAGGCUUAACACAUGCAAGUCGAGGGGCAGCAUGAACUUAGCUUGCUAAGUUUGAUGGCGACCGGCGCACGGGUGAGUAACACGUAUCCAACCUGCCGAUGACUCGGGGAUAGCCUUUCGAAAGAAAGAUUAAUACCCGAUGGCAUAGUUCUUCCGCAUGGUAGAACUAUUAAAGAAUUUCGGUCAUCGAUGGGGAUGCGUUCCAUUAGGUUGUUGGCGGGGUAACGGCCCACCAAGCCUUCGAUGGAUAGGGGUUCUGAGAGGAAGGUCCCCCACAUUGGAACUGAGACACGGUCCAA
RNAcentral lists this ribosomal RNA (314 nucleotides) under uncultured bacterium. Its description in RNAcentral is "bacterial SSU rRNA". It matches the Rfam family "Bacterial small subunit ribosomal RNA", at positions 28 to 334 of the family's 1533-position model. The record is from RNAcentral.